This is a non-coding RNA of Cricetulus griseus (Chinese hamster), 77 nucleotides long. Lineage: Eukaryota; Metazoa; Chordata; Mammalia; Rodentia; Cricetidae. The record is from Rfam.
GCCUGGAUAGCUCAAUUAGUAGAGCGUCAAUCAGACUUUUAGUCUGAGGGUUCAGGGAUCAAGUCCCUGUACAGGCA